This 695-nucleotide ribosomal RNA is filed under the name uncultured beta proteobacterium. RNAcentral describes it as "bacterial SSU rRNA". It matches the Rfam family "Bacterial small subunit ribosomal RNA", at positions 30 to 720 of the family's 1533-position model. The record is from RNAcentral. Lineage: Bacteria; Pseudomonadati; Pseudomonadota; Betaproteobacteria.
UGAACGCUGGCGGCAUGCCUUACACAUGCAAGUCGAACGGCAGCACGGACUUCGGUCUGGUGGCGAGUGGCGAACGGGUGAGUAAUAUAUCGGAACAUACCCAGUAGUGGGGGAUAACUAUCCGAAAGGAUAGCUAAUACCGCAUACGAUCUGUGGAUGAAAGCAGGGGAUCUUCGGACCUUGUGCUAUUGGAAUGGCCGAUAUCUGAUUAGCUAGUUGGUAGGGUAAAAGCCUACCAAGGCGACGAUCAGUAGCUGGUCUGAGAGGACGACCAGCCACACUGGAACUGAGACACGGUCCAGACUCCUACGGGAGGCAGCAGUGGGGAAUUUUGGACAAUGGGGGCAACCCUGAUCCAGCAAUGCCGCGUGAGUGAAGAAGGCCCUCGGGUUGUAAAGCUCUUUUGUCAGGGAAGAAACGGAGUUCUCUAAUAUAGGAUUCUAAUGACGGUACCUGAAGAAUAAGCACCGGCUAACUACGUGCCAGCAGCCGCGGUAAUACGUAGGGUGCAAGCGUUAAUCGGAAUUACUGGGCGUAAAGCGUGCGCAGGCGGUUUUGUAAGUCUGAUGUGAAAUCCCCGGGCUCAACCUGGGAACUGCAUUGGAGACUGCAAGGCUAGAGUGUGUCAGAGGGGGGUAGAAUUCCACGUGUAGCAGUGAAAUGCGUAGAGAUGUGGAGGAAUACCGAUGGCGAAG